Molecule: ribosomal RNA, 462 nt
Filed under: uncultured bacterium
Lineage: Bacteria
Description: bacterial SSU rRNA
Rfam family: Bacterial small subunit ribosomal RNA
Source: RNAcentral
GGCCAGACUCCUACGGGAGGCAGCAGUGGGGAAUAUUGCACAAUGGGGGGAACCCUGAUGCAGCGACGCCGCGUGGGUGAAGGAGCACCUCGGUGCGUAAAGCCCUAUCGGCAGGGAAGAAAAGCGAACAGGUUCGCCUGGACGGUACCUGACUAAGAAGCCCCGGCUAACUACGUGCCCGCAGCCGCGGUAAUACGUAGGGGGCAAGCGUUAUCCGGAUUUACUGGGUGUAAAGGGAGCGCAGACGGCAGUGCAAGUCUGGAGUGAAAGCCCGGGGCCCAACCCCGGAACUGCUCUGGAAACUGUGCGGCUAGAGUACUGGAGGGGCAGGCGGAAUUCCUAGUGUAGCGGUGAAAUGCGUAGAUAUUAGGAGGAACACCAGUGGCGAAGGCGGCCUGCUGGACAGUAACUGACGUUGAGGCUCGAAAGCGUGGGGAGCAAACAGGAUUAGAUACCCGAGUA